GCGUGGAUGAUGUGGAUUAAUUCGAUGCAACGCGAAAACCUUACCUACCCUUGACAUGUCCGGAAUCCCGAAGAGAUUUGGGAGUGCUCGCAAGAGAACCGGAACACAGGUGCUGCAUGGCUGUCGUCAGCUCGUGUCGUGAGAUGUUGGGUUAAGUCCCGCAACGAGCGCAACCCUAUUGUUAGUUGCCAUCAUUCAGUUGGGCACUCUAGCGAGACUGCCGGUAAUAAACCGGAGGAAGGUGGGGAUGACGUCAAAUCAUCAUGCCCCUUAUGACCUGGGUUACACACGUGCUACAAUGGAUGGUACAAAGGGUCGCCAACCCGCGAGGGGGAGCCAAUCCCAUAAAGCCAUUCGUAGUCCGGAUCGCAGUCUGCAACUCGACUGCGUGAAGUCGGAAUCGCUAGUAAUCGUGGAUCAGAAUGUCACGGUGAAUACGUUCCCGGGUCUU
RNAcentral lists this ribosomal RNA (451 nucleotides) under uncultured Pseudomonas sp. Its description in RNAcentral is "bacterial SSU rRNA". It matches the Rfam family "Bacterial small subunit ribosomal RNA", at positions 929 to 1382 of the family's 1533-position model. Lineage: Bacteria; Pseudomonadati; Pseudomonadota; Gammaproteobacteria; Pseudomonadales; Pseudomonadaceae. The record is from RNAcentral.